UACUGACAUUGAGGCGCGAAAGCGUGGGGAGCAAACAGGAUUAGAUACCUUGGUAGUCCACGCCGUAAACGAUGUAGUUUAAGUGUUAGGAGUUUUCCGCCCUUAGUGGCGCAAGUUACGCCUUUAACCCUCCCCCUGGGGAGUUCCGGCGCCAGGGUUGAAAUUAAAAGGAUUUGCGGGGGGCCCCCCCAACGGGGGAGCAUGUGGGUUUAUUUGAAACAACGCGAAAAACCUUUCCAGGGUCUUACAUUCCUUGAACUUGCCAGAGAUGGAUUGUUGUCUUUCGGGAGCCAGAAUCACAGGGGUGCCUGGUUUGUUCACAUCUCGUCUCGAGAAUGUUGGGUUUAAUCCCCCAACAGAGCACACCCCUUAUUUUUAUUCCACCCCAUUAAGGUGGGCACUUUAAGGUGACUGCCGGUGCCAAACCGGAGGAAGGUGGGGAUGACGUCAAUUCAUCAUGCCCCUACGACCUGGGCUACACACGUGUUCAAAUGGUCGGUACAAAGGGCACCCAAGCCGCGAGGUGGAGUAAAUUCCUUAAACCCUUUUCCAUUUCGGAUGUCAGUCUCCAAUUCGCUUCCAGGAAGUGGGAAUCGUUAGUAAUCGGGAAUCACAAUGCCCCGGUGAAUCCUUUCCCGGCCCUGGUCCCCCCCGCCCUUCCCACCAUGAAGUUGGUACCCCCAAAGUCGGGGGGGUUACCCUCUGAGCCAGCCGCCUAAG
This 720-nucleotide ribosomal RNA is filed under the name Bacillus cereus. Its description in RNAcentral is "partial 16S ribosomal RNA". It matches the Rfam family "Bacterial small subunit ribosomal RNA", at positions 738 to 1461 of the family's 1533-position model. Lineage: Bacteria; Bacillati; Bacillota; Bacilli; Caryophanales; Bacillaceae. The record is from RNAcentral.